AUGUCGUCGUCGGUCGGAGGCGGAGGGGGAGGCGGCGCGGCUUUGGCCGGAGGGGACGUCGCUGGCCUUCUGGACAAGGCCAAGGAGCUGGACCAGCUGCGGAAGGAGCAGGACGAUGUGGCCACCGAGAUCAAUAAGAUCCACAAGAAGAUCAUCUCCUCCCCAGAGAUGGUGGAUAAAUCAGUUGAUGCCAUGAUGGCUAGGCUUCGUGGUUUUUAUGUACAAGCAAGAGAACUCUCUGAGAGUGAAGUCAGUGUUUCAUCUGCUUUGGUUGGACUAUUAGAUGGUUUGUUGCAAUCUGGAGUUUCAGCUGCACCAAGAAAAAAGAUAGAAAUCAGUGAACAGAAAAAGAAGAGGAUGAAGUCUGAUACAGACACAACACGAUUUUCCUCUGCAUCUAUGAGGAGCCAACUUGACCAAGCUGCAAACCUUAAAGGAGAGCAGGUUGCAGCUAGGGUAAAAUCGGAUGAUGAAAAAGACGAGUGGUUUGUGGUGAAGGUUAUACAUUUCGAUAAGGAAACAAAAGAAUUUGAAGUAUUGGAUGAGGAGCCUGGUGAUGAUGAAGAGAGCGCCCAAAAGUUUGAGAGGAAAUACAAGUUGCCUAUGUCAUAUAUUAUUCCAUUUCCAAAGAAAGGAGAUCCGUCUAGUGCUCAGGAUUUUGGACAGGGUCGGCAAGUCUUAGCUGUUUAUCCUGGCACAACAGCAUUAUAUAGGGCUACCGUAGCCUCUCAACGUAAGAGGAAGUCUGAUGAUUACAAUCUCUUAUUUGAUGACGACGAAGAGGAUGGGAAUCUACCAGAGAGAGCUGUUCCAUUUUACAGAGUGGUUGCGCUCCCGGAGGGCCAUCGGCAAUGA
RNAcentral lists this ribosomal RNA (855 nucleotides) under Triticum aestivum (bread wheat). Its description in RNAcentral is "partial small subunit ribosomal RNA". The record is from RNAcentral. Lineage: Eukaryota; Viridiplantae; Streptophyta; Magnoliopsida; Poales; Poaceae.